RNAcentral lists this long non-coding RNA (527 nucleotides) under Theobroma cacao (cacao). RNAcentral's name for it is "long non-coding RNA (TCAC_LNC006355)". Lineage: Eukaryota; Viridiplantae; Streptophyta; Magnoliopsida; Malvales; Malvaceae. The record is from RNAcentral.
UUCAAACUCCAUGGAAGCUUGACUUUCAAACUUCCACAACUUUCUCUCUCUAGCUCCAAUUUUCAUGCUUUUGGUGCACCCUUCCAUAAACCCUUGUGCUAUUUCAUCUUUUCACUUCAAAAACCUUGAAAUAUCUUGUUUUCAUACUUUCUCUCACUAGUUGGGCAUUCUAGAGAGAGAAAGAGAGAAUCACUCUAUUGAUUUGGAAGCUAUUGGAAGAGAAUCCAACUACAAAAGAACCCUAGGGUGAGUGAUGCACCAAGUUUGAUUUUAGCUGCAGAAAAUGGCUAGUAAUUGUGAUUUAUGAGCUGUUUUAUUGUUUAGUAUGUUCAUUACUUUUUAGUGAUUAAGAUAGUGAACAUAGAUAGCCAUUUAAAGUGGCAAUUGAAAACUAGCUAAGAGAUAGCUUUUAGAGUUCAUAGUGUGUAAAGUAAUCUAUUGUUUAUGUUAAUGUGAUCCUAGGUUUUUAAGGAAGCACCAUCAUUCCAAUUGGAUCAUUAGGGGAAUUUGAGUCAACUAAAGGUUCU